Molecule: transfer RNA, 88 nt
Filed under: Clostridium sp. chh4-2
Lineage: Bacteria; Bacillati; Bacillota; Clostridia; Eubacteriales; Clostridiaceae
Rfam family: tRNA
About the family: Transfer RNA (tRNA) molecules are approximately 80 nucleotides in length. Their secondary structure includes four short double-helical elements and three loops (D, anti-codon, and T loops).
Source: Rfam by way of RNAcentral
GGAGACGUAUCGAAGUGGCCAUAACGAGACUGACUCGAAAUCAGUUUGUCGCGUAAGCGGCACGAGGGUUCGAAUCCCUCCGUCUCCG